UGAUUUUACGUAUUGUCUUCUUGCUCCCCAUCACUUUUUCCUUUUGCUUUGUGUUUUAGAUAGCAAGUAUGCAAGCAUCGACUGUCCGGUUUUAUUCAUCUAAGCUUUACCUUCAGCACUGACUGCUGAACGCACUGACCAUACUGAGCCACGACGAAAGGAGUAGUUCCUAUGAGAUGUACUAGAAGUGCAUGAUGGACUCACAGACAAUCGGCGAGAUGCCAGGUUCUUCAGAAUGUGCUCUGCUCGUUGAUGAGAACGUGAUACUGCCCGGGCUGAAAAUGAUUUCUGUGCCAAAGGGUUACAAAAAACAUGGUGCAGUUGGCUUGGGUAUUAAGCACAACUAGUGCAAAAUAUUAGUUAGUUAGUUAGUUAGUUAAUAGUUAAAUGGAGACCAUGAGUGUCCUGACAAAAUCUGUGAAAAACAGAACUCAACCUAAUUUCCAUCACAUCUAGGGAAACUUCUGAAACAUCCAAACUGGCUGCAUAUCUGAAGCCAGUUGAGUUAAGGCUGCAAUCCUAUGUACCU
Long non-coding RNA from Varanus komodoensis (Komodo dragon), 529 nucleotides. RefSeq lists it as uncharacterized. The record is from RefSeq and is a predicted model, not a curated record. The transcript has 3 exons. Lineage: Eukaryota; Metazoa; Chordata; Lepidosauria; Squamata; Varanidae.